CAGCCGCGGUAAUUCCAGCUCCGGUAGCGUAUAUUAAAGUUGUUGCGGUUAAAAAGCUCGUAGUCCGAACUCGGGUUCGUGGUCGCGCAAGCGGCCCCGGGGCGGCGGCGCCAUCGUCCGUCGUUGACUUUGGUCGUCCGUUCGCAUUCCCGGCCCUUUCCGCCGGUGUCAACCGCUAGCAUACCCGCCACGCGGUCCUGCCGGCGA
This 207-nucleotide ribosomal RNA is filed under the name Euprymna scolopes. RNAcentral's name for it is "partial 18S ribosomal RNA". It matches the Rfam family "Eukaryotic small subunit ribosomal RNA", at positions 571 to 730 of the family's 1831-position model. The record is from RNAcentral. Lineage: Eukaryota; Metazoa; Mollusca; Cephalopoda; Sepiida; Sepiolidae.